GACGUAGGGCGCGAUCGUUGUCCGGAUUUAUUGGGCGUAAAGAGCUCGUAGGCGGCUUGUUACGUCGACUGUGAAAACCCGCGGCUCAACCGUGUGGUCUGCAGUCGAUACGGGCAGGCUAGAAUUCGGUAGGGGAGACUGGAAUUCCUGGUGUAGCGGUGAAAUGCGCAGAUAUCAGGAGGAACACCUAUUGCGAAGGCAGCUCGCUGGGACGUUACUGACGCUGAGACGCGAAAGCGUGGGGAGCAAACAGG
Molecule: ribosomal RNA, 254 nt
Filed under: uncultured bacterium
Lineage: Bacteria
Description: partial 16S ribosomal RNA
Rfam family: Bacterial small subunit ribosomal RNA
Source: RNAcentral